This 461-nucleotide ribosomal RNA is filed under the name uncultured bacterium. RNAcentral describes it as "partial 16S ribosomal RNA". It matches the Rfam family "Bacterial small subunit ribosomal RNA", at positions 338 to 795 of the family's 1533-position model. The record is from RNAcentral.
CCUACGGGAGGCAGCAGUGAGGAAUAUUGGUCAAUGGGCUUACGCCUGAACCAGCCAAGUCGCGUGAGGGAAGACUGCCCUAUGGGUUGUAAACCUCUUUUGUCAGGGAGCAACGCCGGCUACGUGUAGCCGGACUGAGAGUACCUGAAGAAGAAGCCCCGGCUAACUACGUGCCAGUAGCCGCGGUAAUACGUAGGGGGCAAGCGUUAUCCGGAUUUACUGGGUGUAAAGGGAGCGUAGACGGAAGUGCAAGUCUGGAGGGAAAGGCGGGGGCUCAACCCCCGGACUGCUCUGGAAACCGUACGGCUUGAGUGCAGGAGAGGUAAGUGGAAUUCCUAGGGUAGCGGUGAAAUGCGUAGAUAUUAGGAGGAACACCAGUGGCGAAGGCGGCUUACUGGACUGUAACUGACGUUGAGGCUCGAAAGCGUGGGGAGCAAACAGGAUUAGAUACCCUGGUAGUC